RNAcentral lists this ribosomal RNA (479 nucleotides) under Chryseobacterium sp. 'ARUP UnID 205'. RNAcentral describes it as "bacterial SSU rRNA". It matches the Rfam family "Bacterial small subunit ribosomal RNA", at positions 27 to 506 of the family's 1533-position model. The record is from RNAcentral. Lineage: Bacteria; Pseudomonadati; Bacteroidota; Flavobacteriia; Flavobacteriales; Weeksellaceae.
GGAUGAACGCUAGCGGGAGGCCUAACACAUGCAAGCCGAGCGGUAGAGUCUCUUCGGAGACUUGAGAGCGGCGCACGGGUGCGGAACACGUGUGCAACCUGCCUUUAUCUGGGGGAUAGCCUUUCGAAAGGAAGAUUAAUACCCCAUAAUAUACUGGAUGGCAUCAUUCGGUAUUGAAAACUCCGGUGGAUAGAGAUGGGCACGCGCAAGAUUAGAUAGUUGGUGAGGUAACGGCUCACCAAGUCUGCGAUCUUUAGGGGGCCUGAGAGGGUGAUCCCCCACACUGGUACUGAGACACGGACCAGACUCCUACGGGAGGCAGCAGUGAGGAAUAUUGGACAAUGGGUGAGAGCCUGAUCCAGCCAUCCCGCGUGAAGGACGACGGCCCUAUGGGUUGUAAACUUCUUUUGUAUAGGGAUAAACCUACUCUCGUGAGAGUAGCUGAAGGUACUAUACGAAUAAGCACCGGCUAACUCCGU